GUAGGUGGCAAGCGUUGUCCGGAAUUAUUGGGCGUAAAGCGCGCGCAGGCGGUUCUUUAAGUCUGAUGUGAAAGCCCACGGCUCAACCGUGGAGGGUCAUUGGAAACUGGAGAACUUGAGUACAGAAGAGGAAAGCGGGAUUCCACGUGUAGCGGUGAAAUGCGUAGAGAUGUGGAGGAACACCAGUGGCGAAGGCGGCUUUCUGGUCUGUAACUGACGCUGAAGCGCGAAAGCGUGGGGAGCAAACAGGGAUUAGAUACCCUGGUAGUCCACGCCGUAAACGAUGAGUGCUAAGUGUUAGGGGGUUUCCGCCCCCUUAGUGCUGCAGCUAACGCAUUAAGCACUCCGCCUGGGGAGUACGGCCGCAAGGCUG
Molecule: ribosomal RNA, 373 nt
Filed under: uncultured organism
Description: partial 16S ribosomal RNA
Rfam family: Bacterial small subunit ribosomal RNA
Source: RNAcentral